This 264-nucleotide long non-coding RNA is filed under the name Brassica napus (rape). RNAcentral's name for it is "long non-coding RNA (BNAP_LNC025828)". The record is from RNAcentral. Lineage: Eukaryota; Viridiplantae; Streptophyta; Magnoliopsida; Brassicales; Brassicaceae.
UAUAGGUGUUUUUACUACUAAUUAUUAUAUUAUAGAGUAUAUUUAUUAUAUUUAUAAGAUCAGGAAUGAUUUGGAGAUAAAUGAUGAUUUUAGAGCAUUUUAGAGAUAUUUGGAGCAAGCACCCGAGAUGACCAUCGAGCUCGACCAUCGGUCGAUAUUGAGGAAAAAAUAUCGAUCGAUGUUCACAUCGAUCGACAGCGAAGCGCGAAGAAAGCAUGUUUGGUCACAACCGACUUGAAGCCCAAGUCUUCACCAAUUUACAAG